This 204-nucleotide ribosomal RNA is filed under the name Dipodascus sp. f36. RNAcentral describes it as "partial 28S ribosomal RNA". The record is from RNAcentral. Lineage: Eukaryota; Fungi; Ascomycota; Dipodascomycetes; Dipodascales; Dipodascaceae.
AAUCAGACUUGGUGCUGUUGUUCAACUAUGUUUCGGCAUAGUGUACUCAGCAGUACUAGGCCAAGGUGGGGUGUUUGGGAGUGAAAAAGAAGUAGGAACGUAACUCUUCGGAGUGUUAUAGCCUACUUUCAUAGCUCCUCAGGCGCCUCAGGACUGCGCUUCGGCAAGGACCUUGGCAUAAUGAUUCUAUACCGCCCGUCUUGA